AGAGGUUGGGCCUGUAGACGCUGACAGGAGGCAGGAGCUGGGCCGGGAGAGGUCAACUUGAGGAGAUUUUGGGCCUUCAUAGGCCACCAGGAGGCAGCAGUUGGGACUAGAGAGGCUGACUUGAGUAAGUUUUGGGCCCGGAGAUGACGUUCUGGGACAGGAGCUGUGCCUGGAGAGGUCACUGUGAGGCAUGAGCUGGAUGUAGAGAGGCCAGUGUGAGGCAAGACCUGGGCCUGUCUAGGCUGCUGGGAGACACGCAGGAAUCUGGCCAGGGAAGGUUGCCAUGAGACGAAAGUUGGGCCUGGAAAGGCCCUUGUGAAGCAUGAGCUUGGCCUAAAGAGGCCACUGGGUGGCAGGAGCUGGGUGUGUAGAAGCUGCUAAAGGUUGGGAGCUUGGCUUGGGGGGUCCACAGUGAGGCAGAUGCUGGGCCUCAAGAAUCUGCUAUGAGGCAGAUGUUGGGACUGUAGAGGCCGACGGGAGGCAGAGGCUGGGCCUGGAGGGGCCACCAAGAUGCAGGAGCUGGGCCUGGAGAGGCUGCAAAGAAGCAUGAGCUGGGCCUGGUGAGGUCGACUUCAGAAAGUUCAGGGCCUAGAGAGAAGGCUGGGAGGCAGGAGCUGGGUCUAAAGAGGCCAUUGUAACGAUGGAGCUGUGCCUGUGGAGGCUGUUGUGAGGCAGUAGGCUCAUCUGCGGAGACUGCCGUGAGGUAGGGUAUGGGCCUAAAUAGGCCAUUGUGAGUCAUGAGCUUGGUCUGUAGAGGCUGACUGGAGAAAGUUCUGGGCCUGGAGAGGCUGCCGGGAGGUAGGAGCUGGGCCAAAAGAUUUAAGCACAUUUACAUUUAUUAGGCACUUCGUUUCCAUUAUUACACUGUAAUAUCUAAUAAAAUAAUUAUAGAACUCACCAUAAUGUAGAAUCAGUGGGCA
Molecule: long non-coding RNA, 920 nt
Filed under: Homo sapiens (human)
Lineage: Eukaryota; Metazoa; Chordata; Mammalia; Primates; Hominidae
Description: non-protein coding lnc-USP53-3:2
Source: RNAcentral